This 492-nucleotide ribosomal RNA is filed under the name uncultured bacterium. Its description in RNAcentral is "partial 16S ribosomal RNA". It matches the Rfam family "Bacterial small subunit ribosomal RNA", at positions 29 to 507 of the family's 1533-position model. The record is from RNAcentral.
AGUGAACGCUGGCGGUAGGCCUAACACAUGCAAGUCGAACAGCAGCACAGUAAGAGCUUGCUCUUACGGGUGGCGAGUGGCGGACGGGUGAGGAAUACAUCGGAAUCUACUUUUUCGUGGGGGAUAACGUAGGGAAACUUACGCUAAUACCGCAUACGACCUACGGGUGAAAGCAGGGGAUCUUCGGACCUUGCGCGAUUGAAUGAGCCGAUGUCGGAUUAGCUAGUUGGCGGGGUAAAGGCCCACCAAGGCGACGAUCCGUAGCUGGUCUGAGAGGAUGAUCAGCCACACUGGAACUGAGACACGGUCCAGACUCCUACGGGAGGCAGCAGUGGGGAAUAUUGGACAAUGGGCGCAAGCCUGAUCCAGCCAUACCGCGUGGGUGAAGAAGGCCUUCGGGUUGUAAAGCCCUUUUGUUGGGAAAGAAAAGCAGCAGGUUAAUACCCCGCUGUUCUGACGGUACCCAAAGAAUAAGCGCCGGCUAACUUCGUG